Molecule: ribosomal RNA, 253 nt
Filed under: uncultured Gardnerella sp.
Lineage: Bacteria; Bacillati; Actinomycetota; Actinomycetes; Bifidobacteriales; Bifidobacteriaceae
Description: partial 16S ribosomal RNA
Rfam family: Bacterial small subunit ribosomal RNA
Source: RNAcentral
CGGGUAGAGUAAUGCGUGACCAACCUGCCCCAUGCUCCAGAAUAGCUCUUGGAAACGGGUGGUAAUGCUGGAUGCUCCAACUUGACGCAUGUCUUGUUGGGAAAGUGUUUAGUGGCAUGGGAUGGGGUCGCGUCCUAUCAGCUUGUAGGCGGGGUAAUGGCCCACCUAGGCUUCGACGGGUAGCCGGCCUGAGAGGGCGGACGGCCACAUUGGGACUGAGAUACGGCCCAGACUCCUACGGGAGGCAGCAGUG